CUACGGGGUGCUGCAGUGGGGGAUGUUGCACAAUGGGCGAAAGCCUGAUGCAGCAACGCCGCGUGAAGGAUGACGGAUUUCGGUCUGUAAACUUCUAUCAGCAGGGAAGAAAAUGACGGUACCUGACUAAGAAGCCCCGGCUAACUACGUGCCAGCAGCCGCGGUAAUACGUAGGGGGCAAGCGUUAUCCGGAAUUACUGGGUGUAAAGGGUACGUAGGCGGCUGAUCAAGUCAGAUGUGAAAGCCCGGAGCUCAACUCCGGGAUUGCAUUUGAAACUGGUCGGCUAGAGUGCAGGAGAGGAAAGUGGAAUUCCUAGUGUAGCGGUGAAAUGCGUAGAUAUUAGGAAGAACACCAGUGGCGAAGGCGGCUUUCUGGACUGUAACUGACGCUGAGGUACGAAAGCGUGGGGAGCGAACAGGAUUAGAUACCCGGGUAGUC
Molecule: ribosomal RNA, 439 nt
Filed under: uncultured bacterium
Lineage: Bacteria
Description: partial 16S ribosomal RNA
Rfam family: Bacterial small subunit ribosomal RNA
Source: RNAcentral